RNAcentral lists this ribosomal RNA (476 nucleotides) under uncultured bacterium. Its description in RNAcentral is "bacterial SSU rRNA". It matches the Rfam family "Bacterial small subunit ribosomal RNA", at positions 29 to 506 of the family's 1533-position model. The record is from RNAcentral.
ACGAACGCUGGCGGCGUGCUUAACACAUGCAAGUCGAACGAUGAUCCGGUGCUUGCACCGGGGAUUAGUGGCGAACGGGUGAGUAACACGUGAGUAACCUGCCCUGGACUCUGGGAUAACUUCGAGAAAUCGGAGCUAAUACCGGAUAGGACCCUUCACCGCAUGGUGUGGGGUGGAAAGUUUUUUCGGUUUGGGAUGGACUCGCGGCCUAUCAGCUUGUUGGUGAGGUAAUGGCUUACCAAGGCGUCGACGGGUAGCCGGCCUGAGAGGGUGACCGGCCACACUGGGACUGAGACACGGCCCAGACUCCUACGGGAGGCAGCAGUGGGGAAUAUUGCACAAUGGGCGCAAGCCUGAUGCAGCAACGCCGCGUGCGGGAUGACGGCCUUCGGGUUGUAAACCGCUUUUAGUACGGAAGAAGGGCAGUCUUCGGGUUGUUUGACGGUACGUGCAGAAAAAGGACCGGCUAACUACGU